This 72-nucleotide transfer RNA is filed under the name Phrynosoma platyrhinos (Desert horned lizard). Its description in RNAcentral is "tRNA-OTHER". Lineage: Eukaryota; Metazoa; Chordata; Lepidosauria; Squamata; Phrynosomatidae. The record is from RNAcentral.
GCCAGUGUGGCAUAAGGGUUGGAGUGUUGGACUAGGACUCUGGAGGCCGGGGUUCGAAUCCCGGCUCGGCCA